This 988-nucleotide small RNA is filed under the name uncultured Actinomycetales bacterium. RNAcentral describes it as "bacterial SSU rRNA". The stretch from base 1 to 496 matches the Rfam family "Bacterial small subunit ribosomal RNA", at positions 1045 to 1533 of the family's 1533-position model. Lineage: Bacteria; Bacillati; Actinomycetota; Actinomycetes; Actinomycetales. The record is from RNAcentral.
AUGGCUGUCGUCAGCUCGUGUCGUGAGAUGUUGGGUUAAGUCCCGCAACGAGCGCAACCCUCGUUCUAUGUUGCCAGCGGGUUAUGCCGGGGACUCAUAGGAGACUGCCGGGGUCAACUCGGAGGAAGGUGGGGAUGACGUCAAGUCAUCAUGCCCCUUAUGUCCAGGGCUUCACACAUGCUACAAUGGCGAGUACAGAGGGCUGCGAGACCGCAAGGUGGAGCGAAUCCCUUAAAGCUUGUCUCAGUUCGGAUUGGGGUCUGCAACUCGACCCCAUGAAGUCGGAGUCGCUAGUAAUCGCAGAUCAGCAACGCUGCGGUGAAUACGUUCCCGGGCCUUGUACACACCGCCCGUCACGUCACGAAAGUUGGUAACACCCGAAGCCCAUGGCCCAACCCGACUUGUUGGGGGGGAGUGGUCGAAGGUGGGACCGGCGAUUGGGACGAAGUCGUAACAAGGUAGCCGUACCGGAAGGUGCGGCUGGAUCACCUCCUUUCUAAGGAGCCUUCCCGUGUGGGAGGGUGUCACCCGGUUGUUUCGGGUGUUCCUUUUCUCAAAUACCUCAUGCUCCUGUUGUUGUGGGGGUGUGGGGCUGGGUGGAACACAAGAGAGCUUCCAGAAAAAGCGUUGACUCCUUUUGGUGGGGUUGGGUUUGGCACACUGUUGGGUCCUGAGAAGACACCUGGUGAAAGGGGUGUUGUUCUUGGGCUGCUCCUGGCUUGGACCGUCUAACGCACUGUGGCUUUCCUGCGUGUUGUUUCGUGGGUUGGGUGGGUGUGGUGGUGGUUGUGGUGGGUUGGGGUGUGGUGGUGUGUUGAGUGUUGCAUAGUGGAUGCGAGCAUCUGAUUUUGUUUGUGGUCAAGUAGUUAAGGGCACAGGGUGGAUGUCUGGGCAUCAGGAGCCGAUGAAGGACGUGGGAGGCCGCGAUAGUCCUCGGGGAGUUGUCAACCUAGCUGUGAUCCGAGGGUGUCCGAAUGGGGAAACCCGG